UGAGCAAUCUGCCCUUCUCAUCGGAAUAAGCGUUGGAAACGACGUCUAAUGCCGAAUACGACCUCCUUUCGCAUGAUCGGAGGUGGAAAGCUCCGGCGGAGAAGGAUGAGCUCGCGGCCUAUCAGCUAGUUGGUGUGGGUAAUGGCCCACCAAGGCGACGACGGGUAGCCGGCCUGAGAGGGUGACCGGCCACACUGGGACUGAGAUACGGCCCAGACUCCGUACGGGAGCAG
RNAcentral lists this ribosomal RNA (233 nucleotides) under uncultured bacterium. Its description in RNAcentral is "partial 16S ribosomal RNA". It matches the Rfam family "Bacterial small subunit ribosomal RNA", at positions 118 to 347 of the family's 1533-position model. The record is from RNAcentral.